GAUGAACGCUGGCGGCGUGCCUAAUACAUGCAAGUCGAGCGAACAGACGAGGAGCUUGCUCCUCUGACGUUAGCGGCGGACGGGUGAGUAACACGUGGAUAACCUACCUAUAAGACUGGGAUAACUUCGGGAAACCGGAGCUAAUACCGGAUAUUAUAUUGAACCGCAUGGUUCAAUAGUGAAAGACGGUUUUGCUGUCACUUAUAGAUGGAUCCGCGCCGCAUUAGCUAGUUGGUAAGGUAACGGCUUACCAAGGCAACGAUGCGUAGCCGACCUGAGAGGGUGAUCGGCCACACUGGAACUGAGACACGGUCCAGACUCCUACGGGAGGCAGCCGUAGGGAAUCCUCCGCAAUGGGCGAAAGCCUGACGGAGCAACGCCGCGUGAGUGAUGAAGGUCUUUGGAUCGUAAAACUCUGUUAUUAGGGAAGAAAAAAUGUGUAAGGAAAUAUGCACGUCUUGACGGGACCUAAUCAGAAAGCCACGGCUAACUACGUG
Molecule: ribosomal RNA, 497 nt
Filed under: uncultured bacterium
Lineage: Bacteria
Description: partial 16S ribosomal RNA
Rfam family: Bacterial small subunit ribosomal RNA
Source: RNAcentral